CAGAUAAGACUUGGCGUCGUGCGGCGGAGGAUAUCUGGAUACGGAAAUCAGGAUUCAGAUUACGUGUAAGCAGCGUGGGAGCGCCGAAAGGCAACCAGGACUCCCACAUCCUAAUGGCCAGCAACGCAGAUUGCAAAUUGAAAAGGGCAAAAAAAAAUGGGUGAAAAACGCGUAAACUGAUGCGAUGGCAGCCAACCAAGACGUCGACAUCUGUAAUCCCCGCCUGCAAGUGUGCCAUAAAAAUUCAAAUUUUCAAAUUCGCCCCAGCUCAUAUGCUCAACAAAUCCCACUUAAUUGUUGGUGCGGUGGUUCUGCAAUGAAAUUUCAUGUAUUCUAAUUUAUGCAAACUUAACAAAGGAGCGCCGUUGCUGGCCACAUUGCGCCUUCAGUUUUGUUUCGUUCUGCACUUGUGCAUAAGUACAAUGGCUGCAAAAAAAAAAAUACAUAAAAAAGGGAGGCGAGUGAAAAAGUAAAAUAAAAAGUAAGGAGGGAAAAGGAAAAGAAUCCCGAAUAAAAUGCAGUGCCAAACAAAUGCAAACCAAACUCAGCUGAGGCGAAACAGUCAGGCAAGCAGCCAGCGGGCCACUUGGCGUAUACGUAAUUCGCAUUUGGGCAACAGCAACUGCAACACGAACAACAAUUGCAAUGGCUACGUGCCAAGGCAGUGGAACAGGGACAGCAAAAAGGACGUUCCACAGUGAAUGAUGGGGAGAGGGGGGCCAGAAGGUAAACGGUAUUAAUGGCAGGACCUUCUUUUUGGCAGCAGUUGGCAAGCGUAACAGAAAUAGCUGCAAUGCGACUUUUUCGCUUUUUGGCUGUUGAUGUCUUUUCUGCUGUAUGUUGCACGUGGUGCACGUCUGUAUGUCUGUUUCUGUGUAUGGGUGUAUGUGUGUUUGCCUGCAUAUAGCGACUAUAUCUAUCCAUUGCAGCAACAUACAAAUCACUUGAAACUUUACGGAAAUCGUAUCCCUUGUUUCUCUCCGAUUCCGAAAACACCCCAUAAGUAAUCGAAUGCUAAUGGAAAACUGUUGCUCAUAAAUAUGCCAGGCAGCAAUUUGUCGAAGGCUGGCCAUAAAAACUACAAGGGCCAUUUAACUUAUGAGUGCUGUAGGCCCAUACCCGCCAAGCAUCCCCCCUGUCUUCUUGCCCCAUUGCCCAUCCGCCCCCUGGCCAACUUAGAUUCCUUCCUUGGCCCGGGCCAAUUGCCAGCGGCGUCAGCGUCGACGGCUCUUCAGCGUCAUCAACACAUCGUGUACGUGACUUUGCUAACAAAAAUUAACAAUUUCAUUAGUGGUCCCCGUUGCAGGACGAAGGAUGAAAACUGGCGACUGGUGACUGAAUGCUGGUUGCUGUAUACGGAAUACUGAAGGAUGGCUGAAGGAGAUGACGUAGUGUCAGUCGAAGAAAAGAAAAACGAGGAGCAACAGCAGUGUACUGUGAGAAAGAUCAUAAUAGUUGUGAGUUUCAAAUGGAAUUUAACUGGAGAGAAAUCGAAAAGUACUAACAAUUUAGAGGCCAGAUUAACCAUGUGAUGUUGAAAUUCUUAAGAUAGAGCUUGCUACAAAACAUUAAAUAGUCGAUCAAU
Long non-coding RNA from Drosophila yakuba, 1585 nucleotides. RefSeq lists it as uncharacterized. NCBI's taxonomy places the organism in Eukaryota, Metazoa, Arthropoda, Insecta, Diptera, Drosophilidae. The transcript is spliced from 2 exons. The record is from RefSeq and is a predicted model, not a curated record.